This 63-nucleotide ribosomal RNA is filed under the name Geopseudomonas sagittaria. RNAcentral describes it as "Pseudomonas sagittaria 16S rRNA. Bacterial SSU". The record is from RNAcentral. Lineage: Bacteria; Pseudomonadati; Pseudomonadota; Gammaproteobacteria; Pseudomonadales; Pseudomonadaceae.
GUGAACUGAAGAGUUUGAUCAUGGCUCAGAUUGAACGCUGGCGGCAGGCCUAACACAUGCAAG